RNAcentral lists this ribosomal RNA (616 nucleotides) under uncultured bacterium G25. Its description in RNAcentral is "bacterial SSU rRNA". It matches the Rfam family "Bacterial small subunit ribosomal RNA", at positions 27 to 639 of the family's 1533-position model. The record is from RNAcentral.
GGGCGAACGCUGGCGGCGGGCCUAACACAUGCAAGUCGUACGCGGGGUUCUCCUUCGGGAGAACUGCCGAGUGGCGAACGGGUGCGUAACGCGUAGGUAACCUGCCCUCGAGUGGGGGAUAACUCCGGGAAACCGGGGCUAAUACCGCAUAUUGUCCCGGGACCGCAUGGCUCCGGGAUGAAAGCCCUCUGGCGCUCGAGGAUGGGCCUGCGUCGGAUUAGCUAGUUGGUGGGGUAACGGCCCACCAAGGCGACGAUCCGUAGCUGGUCUGAGAGGACGACCAGCCACACUGGCACUGAGACACGGGCCAGACUCCUACGGGAGGCAGCAGUGGGGAAUCUUGGGCAAUGGGCGAAAGCCUGACCCAGCCACGCCGCGUGGAGGAUGAAGCCCUUCGGGGUGUAAACUCCUUUUCUGGGGGAAGAAAUCCCGGCUAUGGUCGGGACUGACGGUACCCCAAGAAUAAGCGCCGGCUAACUUCGUGCCAGCAGCCGCGGUAAUACGGAGGGCGCAAGCGUUGCCCGGAAUCACUGGGUGUAAAGGGUGCGUAGGCGGGGCUGUAAGUCAGAGGUGAAAGCCCCCGGCUCAACCGGGGAAUUGCCUCUGAUACUGCAGC